Molecule: long non-coding RNA, 373 nt
Filed under: Numida meleagris (helmeted guineafowl)
Lineage: Eukaryota; Metazoa; Chordata; Aves; Galliformes; Numididae
Description: lncRNA (ENSNMEG00000013039.1)
Source: RNAcentral
UAAGACUUUGACUUGCUAGAAGAAAAGGAGGGGAAAAAGUCCACCUGUUCUUAACAGAAGACCAUUUUUUGGCCAUUCUGCAGCUCAUUGCAAAAGGACAGCUUCCAAUAUGACCAGCUGGCUAGUGCACAAGAUGGGAAUACACCUAUGGCUUUGCUGGAUCCAGUGACACUUCAGUUUGCUCCUUCAGGAAGUGCUGGCUGAAUAGAGCAAGAAGUGUGACCCAACAGCAGCUAGAAUAAGAGAUGCAAUCAACCAAAGUCAUUUAAAAGUGUAACUACUAUGCUUGACAUCAGUAAUUGUUGUUCUUGUGCUUGUGCUGUAGAAAACCAAGAGAGACAAAGAUGCAAGUGGAGACAUGGAGCUGGACAUG